RNAcentral lists this ribosomal RNA (261 nucleotides) under uncultured archaeon. Its description in RNAcentral is "partial 16S ribosomal RNA". It matches the Rfam family "Archaeal small subunit ribosomal RNA", at positions 748 to 1009 of the family's 1478-position model. The record is from RNAcentral.
CAGCCGUAAACUAUGCGCGUUAGGUGUACUGGUGACCACGAGUCACCGGGGUGCCGAAGGGAAACCGUGAAACGUGCCGCCUGGGAAGUACGGUCGCAAGGCUGAAACUUAGAGGAAUUGGCGGGGGAGCACCACAACGGGUGGAGCCUGCGGUUUAAUUGGAUUCAACGCCGGACAUCUCACCGGAUAAGACAGCUGAAUGAUUGUCAAUCUGAAGGUUUUACAUGACUAGCUGAGAGGAGGUGCAUGGCGUAGACGUCU